Molecule: ribosomal RNA, 492 nt
Filed under: uncultured bacterium
Lineage: Bacteria
Description: partial 16S ribosomal RNA
Rfam family: Bacterial small subunit ribosomal RNA
Source: RNAcentral
AGUGAACGCUGGCGGUAGGCCUAACACAUGCAAGUCGAACGGCAGCACAGUAAGAUUUUGCCUCUACGGGUGGCGAGUGGCGGACGGGUGACGAAUACAUCGCAUUCUACUUUUUCUUGGGGGACAACGUAGGGCCACUUACGCUAACACCUCAUAUGUUCUACGGCUGAAUGCAGUGGAUCUUCGCAGCUUUCGUGAUUGUAUUAGCCGAUGUCGGAUUAGCUAGUUGGCGUGGUAAGGGCCCACCAAGGCGACGAUCCGUAGCUGGGCUGAGAGGAUGAUCAGCCACACUGGAACUGAGACACGGUCCAGACUCCUACGGGAGGCAGCAGUGGGGAAUAUUGGACAAUGGGCGCAAGCCUGAUCCAGCAAUGCCGCGUGAGUGAAGAAGGCCUUCGGGUUGUAAAGCCCUUUUAUUGGGAAAGAAAAGCAGCAGGAUAAUACCCCGAUGUUCUGACGGUACCCAAUGAAUAAGCACCGGCUAACUUCGUG